UUAUGAUUAAGACACAUUUUAAAUGAGAUGAGGUAAUGAUCUGAGAUAGCUUCAGACUGUGGAAAUGAGAC
This is a non-coding RNA of Pangasianodon gigas (Mekong giant catfish), 71 nucleotides long. Lineage: Eukaryota; Metazoa; Chordata; Actinopteri; Siluriformes; Pangasiidae. The record is from the annotation of a GenBank genome assembly.